This 242-nucleotide long non-coding RNA is filed under the name Panax ginseng (ginseng). RNAcentral describes it as "long non-coding RNA (PGIN_LNC006202)". The record is from RNAcentral. Lineage: Eukaryota; Viridiplantae; Streptophyta; Magnoliopsida; Apiales; Araliaceae.
AGAGUAUGAGGCAUGAACUCUGCUUCAUAUAGUGCUAGAAAUUGGGUUUAAUUGUUUCUGAUGUGGGGUUUGGGUUUUUGAUGUCAAUUGGAUAUACCUGAACCUACUCAAAGCCUUUGACACACCGACUAUUCAAUCCAUAUUUGAAGAGGUUUGACUCGUUUAUGUGAACUACCUGCCUAUAUAAUGAAGUUUACUAAUGUCUUAUUUGUAGUUGCAAACAAGGAUCUGUAGUUGCAGAA